This 23-nucleotide non-coding RNA is filed under the name Arabidopsis thaliana (thale cress). Lineage: Eukaryota; Viridiplantae; Streptophyta; Magnoliopsida; Brassicales; Brassicaceae. The record is from RNAcentral.
CGAGUGCCUGGUGCGAUGACUAU